RNAcentral lists this ribosomal RNA (494 nucleotides) under uncultured bacterium. Its description in RNAcentral is "bacterial SSU rRNA". It matches the Rfam family "Bacterial small subunit ribosomal RNA", at positions 28 to 509 of the family's 1533-position model. The record is from RNAcentral.
GAUGAACGCUAGCGGCAGGCCUAAUACAUGCAAGUCGUACGGCAGCACAGUUGCGAGCAAUCGCAACCGGUGGCGAGUGGCGCACGGGUGAGUAACGCGUAUGUAACCUACCCUUCUCCAGGACAUAACUCCGCGAAAGCGGUGCUAAUAUCCCAUAUCAACACUUGAAGACAUCUUCUUGUGUUGAAAGUAGCAAUGCGGUGAAGGAUGGGCAUGCGUCCCAUUAGCUGGUUGGUGAGGUAAUGGCCCACCAAGGCUACGAUGGGUAGGGGUUCUGAGAGGAAAGUCCCCCACACUGGUACUGAGACACGGACCAGACUCCUACGGGAGGCAGCAGUAAGGAAUAUUGGGCAAUGGUCGAAAGACUGACCCAGCCAUGCCGCGUGCAGGAUGAAGGCCCUAUGGGUUGUAAACUGCUUUUAGCCGGGAAUAAUUACCCGUUCUCUAACGGGCUUGAAGGUACCGGCUGAAUAAGCAUCGGCUAACUCCGUGCC